GCCAUUUUUCACACAGAAAAGACAGUAAAGUACUCAUUUACUGCUGUGUAAUCAAUUUAAAAUUUCUCAUUCAUAUGAGCUGCAGACUCAUUGAUUAGACAUGGAAACUACAUAAGCUGUGGCAACCCUGAAUUUUCCUUUGGCUGUCUUCUCUGUGCCUUAUGGAACACAAUUGAAAUGACCUAGAGGCCAGUAAAAUGGAAUUACUCAUCAGCUUUCCCCAGACCCAUUCAUACCUGCUCAAACAUUGCUCCAUGGGACACAAUCUUUUCUUUGGGGAGAAAAUCUAAGUCACACGCAUCUUUUAAAUUCCCAAAUCCUUGUUUUCCUCUCCUAGGCAGGAAUCUGAUUUCAGAAGAGGGAUUUGACCUUAUGGAAGUCCAAAAAAUAAAAUAUUGAUAGAUAGCGACCACAUAGUGUGGUUUGGUAAGCUGCAUAGUAAGGUUUAUACCCUCUAAGAAAAUAGCACUCCUAGGGAGCGUUGAAGUGGUAAUUGCUAUGAUUCAUUGAGCAUUUGGUUUGGGCGAGUCUCUGCAUUAUGAGCUUUUCAAAUGCUUUCAGUUAGGACUGCAUUUGGCAAGAAGAAACAAAAUCUUACAUGUAAUAACUCUUAAAAA
This 617-nucleotide long non-coding RNA is filed under the name Homo sapiens (human). Its description in RNAcentral is "non-protein coding lnc-STT3B-7:1". Lineage: Eukaryota; Metazoa; Chordata; Mammalia; Primates; Hominidae. The record is from RNAcentral.